Molecule: ribosomal RNA, 442 nt
Filed under: uncultured bacterium
Lineage: Bacteria
Description: partial 16S ribosomal RNA
Rfam family: Bacterial small subunit ribosomal RNA
Source: RNAcentral
CCUACGGGUGACAGCAGUGGGGAAUAUUGGGCAAUGGGCGCAAGCCUGACCCAGCAACGCCGCGUGAAGGAAGAAGGCUUUCGGGUUGUAAACUUCUUUCAGGAGGGAAGAGCAGAAGACGGUAACUCUUGAACAAGCCACGGCUAACUACGUGCCAGCAGCCGGGGUAAUACGUAGGUGGCAAGCGUUGUCCGGAUUUACUGGGUGUAAAGGGCGGGUAGCCGGGCUGAUAAGUCAGAUGUGAAAUUCCGGGGCUCAACCCCGGACCUGCAUUUGAAACUGUUGGGCUUGAGUAUCGGAGAGGCAGGCGGAAUUCCUAGUGUAGCGGUGAAAUGCGUAGAUAUUAGGAGGAACACCAGUGGCGAAGGCGGCCUGCUGGACGACAACUGACGGUGAGGCGCGAAAGCGUGGGGAGCAAACAGGAUUAGAUACCCCUGUAGUC